RNAcentral lists this ribosomal RNA (1552 nucleotides) under Staphylococcus aureus. RNAcentral describes it as "16S ribosomal RNA". It matches the Rfam family "Bacterial small subunit ribosomal RNA". The record is from RNAcentral. Lineage: Bacteria; Bacillati; Bacillota; Bacilli; Caryophanales; Staphylococcaceae.
UUUAUGGAGAGUUUGAUCCUGGCUCAGGAUGAACGCUGGCGGCGUGCCUAAUACAUGCAAGUCGAGCGAACGGACGAGAAGCUUGCUUCUCUGAUGUUAGCGGCGGACGGGUGAGUAACACGUGGAUAACCUACCUAUAAGACUGGGAUAACUUCGGGAAACCGGAGCUAAUACCGGAUAAUAUUUUGAACCGCAUGGUUCAAAAGUGAAAGACGGUCUUGCUGUCACUUAUAGAUGGAUCCGCGCUGCAUUAGCUAGUUGGUAAGGUGACGGCUUACCAAGGCAACGAUGCAUAGCCGACCUGAGAGGGUGAUCGGCCACACUGGAACUGAGACACGGUCCAGACUCCUACGGGAGGCAGCAGUAGGGAAUCUUCCGCAAUGGGCGAAAGCCUGACGGAGCAACGCCGCGUGAGUGAUGAAGGUCUUCGGAUCGUAAAACUCUGUUAUUAGGGAAGAACAUAUGUGUAAGUAACUGUGCACAUCUUGACGGUACCUAAUCAGAAAGCCACGGCUAACUACGUGCCAGCAGCCGCGGUAAUACGUAGGUGGCAAGCGUUAUCCGGAAUUAUUGGGCGUAAAGCGCGCGUAGGCGGUUUUUUAAGUCUGAUGUGAAAGCCCACGGCUCAACCGUGGAGGGUCAUUGGAAACUGGAAAACUUGAGUGCAGAAGAGGAAAGUGGAAUUUCAUGUGUAGCGGUGAAAUGCGCAGAGAUAUGGAGGAACACCAGUGGCGAAGGCGACUUUCUGGUCUGUAACUGACGCUGAUGUGCGAAAGCGUGGGGAUCAAACAGGAUUAGAUACCCUGGUAGUCCACGCCGUAAACGAUGAGUGCUAAGUGUUAGGGGGUUUCCGCCCCUUAGUGCUGCAGCUAACGCAUUAAGCACUCCGCCUGGGGAGUACGACCGCAAGGUUGAAACUCAAAGGAAUUGACGGGGACCCGCACAAGCGGUGGAGCAUGUGGUUUAAUUCGAAGCAACGCGAAGAACCUUACCAAAUCUUGACAUCCUUUGACAACUCUAGAGAUAGAGCCUUCCCCUUCGGGGGACAAAGUGACAGGUGGUGCAUGGUUGUCGUCAGCUCGUGUCGUGAGAUGUUGGGUUAAGUCCCGCAACGAGCGCAACCCUUAAGCUUAGUUGCCAUCAUUAAGUUGGGCACUCUAAGUUGACUGCCGGUGACAAACCGGAGGAAGGUGGGGAUGACGUCAAAUCAUCAUGCCCCUUAUGAUUUGGGCUACACACGUGCUACAAUGGACAAUACAAAGGGCAGCGAAACCGCGAGGUCAAGCAAAUCCCAUAAAGUUGUUCUCAGUUCGGAUUGUAGUCUGCAACUCGACUACAUGAAGCUGGAAUCGCUAGUAAUCGUAGAUCAGCAUGCUACGGUGAAUACGUUCCCGGGUCUUGUACACACCGCCCGUCACACCACGAGAGUUUGUAACACCCGAAGCCGGUGGAGUAACCUUUUAGGAGCUAGCCGUCGAAGGUGGGACAAAUGAUUGGGGUGAAGUCGUAACAAGGUAGCCGUAUCGGAAGGUGCGGCUGGAUCACCUCCUUU